This 209-nucleotide ribosomal RNA is filed under the name uncultured bacterium. RNAcentral describes it as "partial 16S ribosomal RNA". It matches the Rfam family "Bacterial small subunit ribosomal RNA", at positions 29 to 267 of the family's 1533-position model. The record is from RNAcentral.
AACGAACGCUGGCGGCAGGCCUAACACAUGCAAGUCGAGCGCCCAGCAAUGGGAGCGGCGGACGGGUGAGUAACACGUGGGAAUAUGCCUUUCGGUUCGGAACAACUCGGGGAAACCCGUGCUAAUUCCGGAUACGCCCUUACGGGGAAAGAUUUAUCGCCGAAAGAUUAGCCCGCGUCCGAUUAGCUAGUUGGUGAGGUAAUGGCUCA